ACGCUCGACACCUACGGGGCAGCAGUGGGGAAUAUUGCACAAUGGGGGAAACCCUGAUGCAGCGACGCCGCGUGAGCGAAGAAGUAUUUCGGUAUGUAAAGCUCUAUCAGCAGGGAAGAAACUGACGGUACCUGACUAAGAAGCACCGGCUAAAUACGNGCCAGCAGCCGCGGUAAUCUGAGCGGGCUGGCAAGGC
Molecule: ribosomal RNA, 196 nt
Filed under: uncultured bacterium
Lineage: Bacteria
Description: partial 16S ribosomal RNA
Rfam family: Bacterial small subunit ribosomal RNA
Source: RNAcentral